Molecule: non-coding RNA, 21 nt
Organism: Caenorhabditis elegans
Lineage: Eukaryota; Metazoa; Nematoda; Chromadorea; Rhabditida; Rhabditidae
Source: Ensembl
UCAGGAUACGAAUAUACGGAU